RNAcentral lists this ribosomal RNA (255 nucleotides) under uncultured bacterium. RNAcentral's name for it is "partial 16S ribosomal RNA". It matches the Rfam family "Bacterial small subunit ribosomal RNA", at positions 524 to 777 of the family's 1533-position model. The record is from RNAcentral.
UACGUAGGUGGCAAGCGUUACUCGGAAUCACUAGGCGUAAAGCGCAGGUAGGCGGUUCGGUAAGUCUUUUGUGAAAGCUCCCGGCUUAACUGGGAGAGGUCAAAGGAAACUACCGGGCUAGAGUGUGGUAGGGGAAACUGGAAUUCCUGGUGUAGCGGUGAAAUGCGUAGAUAUCAGGAGGAACACCUAUGGCGAAAGCAGGUUUCUGGGCCAUCACUGACGCUGAGCUGCGAAAGCUAAGGGGAGCAAACAGGG